RNAcentral lists this ribosomal RNA (645 nucleotides) under uncultured bacterium. RNAcentral describes it as "bacterial SSU rRNA". It matches the Rfam family "Bacterial small subunit ribosomal RNA", at positions 167 to 810 of the family's 1533-position model. The record is from RNAcentral.
ACCCGCGUACAUGCCACCGGGGCAUCCCGGAGGCAGGAAAGGCUUCGGCCGGACAGGGAUGGGCAUGCGGCGCAUUAGGCAGUAGGCGGGGUAACGGCCCACCUAACCGACGAUGCGUAGGGGUUCUGAGAGGAAGGUCCCCCACACUGGUACUGAGACACGGACCAGACUCCUACGGGAGGCAGCAGUGAGGAAUAUUGGUCAAUGGUCGGGAGACUGAACCAGCCAAGCCGCGUGAGGGAUGAAGGUACAGAGUAUCGUAAACCUCCUUUGUCAGGGAACAAAGGCGGGGACGUGUCCCCGGAUGAGUGUACCUGAAGAAAAAGCAUCGGCUAACUCCGUGCCAGCAGCCGCGGUAAUACGGAGGAUGCGAGCGUUAUCCGGAUUUAUUGGGUUUAAAGGGUGCGCAGGCGGUCUGUUAAGUCAGCGGUCAAAGCCCGGGGCUCAACCCCGGCCCGCCGUUGAAACUGGCAGUCUCGAGUUGGAGAGAAGUAUGCGGAAUGCGCGGUGUAGCGGUGAAAUGCAUAGAUAUCGCGCAGAACUCCGAUUGCGAAGGCAGCAUGCCGGCUCCACACUGACGCUGAGGCACGAAAGCGUGGGUAUCGAACAAAAGUAGAUACCCUGGUAGUCCACGCAGUAAACGAC